Long non-coding RNA from Solanum tuberosum (potato), 262 nucleotides. RefSeq lists it as uncharacterized. Lineage: Eukaryota; Viridiplantae; Streptophyta; Magnoliopsida; Solanales; Solanaceae. The record is from RefSeq and is a predicted model, not a curated record. The transcript is spliced from 2 exons.
GCCUCGGAGCGAAAAUUCUUCAAGUUGGAGAAGAUAUUCAAGCAGAAGUGUAGUGUUAGAAAUGAUGAAAAGUUAUUAAAGGUUUCUCAAUCCUAUUUUAUCAACUACAGCUGGUCUAAUAGCAGGCCUUCUCUUCAUCUCUACCGAUAAGAUUGCUUUCUGCAGUGAGAUUAAUAAAGCUCAUAUCUCCAACAAGAAAGUUGCUUAGAAUCUACUACAAGGUAUCGAUCCCAAUAAGUAAGAUAAUGAAAGCAAAAGAAAG